Molecule: ribosomal RNA, 253 nt
Filed under: uncultured bacterium
Lineage: Bacteria
Description: partial 16S ribosomal RNA
Rfam family: Bacterial small subunit ribosomal RNA
Source: RNAcentral
UACGUAGGAUGCAAGCGUUGUCCGGAAUUACUGGGCGUAAAGGGCGAGCAGGUGGCACUACAAGUCUGAUGUAAAAUCUCCCGGCUUAACUGGGAGGGGCCAUUGGAAACUGUAGAGCUGGAGUGCAGGAGAGGCUAACGGAAUUCCCGGUGUAGUGGUGAAAUGCGUAGAUAUCGGGAGGAACACCAGUGGCGAAGGCGGGUCUCUGGACCGGUUCUGACGCUGAGGCGCGAAAGCGUGGGGAGCAAACGGG